AACAUCUUAGUACCUGCAGGAAAAGAAAAUAACAAUGAUUCCCCCAGUAGUGGCGAGCGAACGGGGAAGAGCCCAAACCUCAGAUGUUACGGCAUCUGGGGGGUUGUAGGACCGCGACAUCGCAAGAAAUCUCGUGAAUGGAAGCAUCUGGAAAGUUGCACCACAGACGGUGAGAGUCCGGUACAUGAAGCGAGACGAAGCGUAGCGGUAUCCUGAGUAUCGCGGGACACGAGGAAUCCUGCGUGAAUCCGCCGG
This 255-nucleotide ribosomal RNA is filed under the name Bacteroides mediterraneensis. RNAcentral describes it as "partial 23S ribosomal RNA". It matches the Rfam family "Bacterial large subunit ribosomal RNA", at positions 197 to 450 of the family's 2925-position model. The record is from RNAcentral. Lineage: Bacteria; Pseudomonadati; Bacteroidota; Bacteroidia; Bacteroidales; Bacteroidaceae.